CUAUCAUCAUGGUAUCGAACUCCAUCUUUCCUCCAUCGGAUAUUUCAAGGUGGAGCUGUGGCACAGGCAAAGGGAUGAUCGAACAUAUCUGGAGUUGUCCCAAAAUGGUACCAUUCUGGGAGAUGGUAAAGGAAGUGUUAACCAAUGUAGUCGGAUGACAACCCGUGGAUCAAGCAUUAUUACACCAGUCUCAAUAUAAAAAGUCCAUCACUAGACACCUUCUCAUUGCAUUCCAUGCUGAUACCUGCC
Pelobates cultripes (western spadefoot toad) is the source of this 249-nucleotide non-coding RNA. The record is from the annotation of a GenBank genome assembly. Lineage: Eukaryota; Metazoa; Chordata; Amphibia; Anura; Pelobatidae.